RNAcentral lists this long non-coding RNA (1669 nucleotides) under Paramuricea clavata. The record is from RNAcentral. Lineage: Eukaryota; Metazoa; Cnidaria; Anthozoa; Malacalcyonacea; Plexauridae.
CUUUGCUAUUUGCACUCAAAGGCAAUAUGUGAAAAUGACUUAUCUUGGCAUAUGCUAGUGCAUGUGAGAAAUAAAGGUCUGUUUUAGGAAUAUAAUACCAUUAUAUACAAAAAUUUACAAGGUCGCUAGGUUUUAAUGCGAAUUUGUAUAAACUUUAACACCAUGCGUUGGAGCUUGUAACAGAAUAAGCAUGUUUACUUGCAUGUGUGAUACACAGACAUACUGAAUGAUUGAGUUCUAUAUUUGUGAAAACUAAAAUAAUAACUUUAUUCAACAUUCCACAACGUGGUUAAAGAUCGAUGGUAGUGAACAAUAUGAAGCAAGUAAUAUAAGAAACUCAAAAAUUCAGGAAAUAUUUUCAUGGAAUCCCAUUCUGACGAUGCAUUUGAACUAUUAAUCAUGAAAGCAUAUUACAGUAUCUGGUGACACUGCUUAGUAUCUUGUCCUGUAUUUGCGGAAAAUGACGGUGAAAUUCAACUACCAUUUUGCGACAUGCAUAGUGGAACAUUGGUGAAAGCCAUAAAACAUUUGCUCCUGCCUUAACUUGGACGGCAUGCAGAACAAUACGUAUUCUUUAUUCGUGUGUACUCUGAGCGAAUAACGAACUUAGGAAAAUGAAUUAAUGGCUAAUGCACUAGUCAUAAAGAUUAAUAUCUUCAGCUGACUAUUUCCAACGGAGAAUAUUUCUGCCAUGCCAUUCUCGUUCAAUAAAAACUGCAAAAUCGGCUGUUAUUCAAUUAGAUGAAACAGACGUGUAACAUUGCAAACGAAACGAGACGGCUAGUGUCAGCGGUAUUACAAAAAUUGUACGCUCUAGCCGAGGAUUAAUCCUGGAUUGAAAAACUAAACGUGAAUAAUUAUUGUAUCUGUUGGAGAAAUAUAAAACAUCUGCUACAAUCAGCAAGUGUUGGUUUCUGAUUUACAAGUUUAACCAUGCAGCCAAAUGCAAAUGUUUACUUUAUGGAAAGAAUUAAAGUUUUAUUACGGUGUAAUGAUGGCACUAACUAUAUAUCAUCUAUGCUUGUUUGAAAUACUGAAAAUGACAGUCUUAUUCGCGCACUUUCAAAGGUUACCAUAUCAGUUUCUUCGAAAGCUUGAAAGAACAUCCUUGUAGCAAAACCGUCCUGGAAUCCGUAGUUAACUCUUGCGGUUAUGAGAGCUUUUAAUAAUAUAUGGUAUGAUCGGCUGAAAUGAAAACAAUCAUUCACAUGCGACUUUAUAUGCCUGUGUGUACACGAAUGUGCAUGCAUGGUUCAAUUGUGGUGUUGCUUGUACAAAUGAAAAGUAGAAAUUUGUCAACGGAAACCAAAUAUCAGAAGAAUUACACGUAUACAAUUAGGACUCUGCAAAAGUGUACGAAAAGAAUAUUUACAGUCCACAAGGUAGUACAAGGACGGAAAAUUUGUAAAGGUAUAGAUAACUAAGGACAUAUUAUACAUAUAUCAAAUUUAAAUUAAAUUUUAAAAACAUUUACUAAUAAUAAUCGGUUAACAUUCUACCAUUUUACCGACCUUUCUUAUUAAAUAAAGAAUAUUGCUAGAAUAAAGUGUGAGAGAUGUUAGAAUUUUCAAGAGCUGCUCAAACUUUAAGAUAUCUGGUAAAACAAAAUUUUGGUAGGAUUUUUGUUAAAUAAUCGUUACCAUCUUCAAAGAUGUAUCCACAACGUUCA